RNAcentral lists this long non-coding RNA (2058 nucleotides) under Citrus x clementina. RNAcentral describes it as "Citrus clementina (C. clementina) long non-coding RNA (CCLE_LNC001312)". Lineage: Eukaryota; Viridiplantae; Streptophyta; Magnoliopsida; Sapindales; Rutaceae. The record is from RNAcentral.
AAAACCCCAAGAAGCGGAAAAACAGUAAGAAUCCACAUGAUAGCAGUGGAAUCAACAGAUUAAUUAAUUUACUACCAGCACUGAUAUUUUUGACUUCAUCAUCUUCAUGUGCACAAGAAAACGAGCUCAAAUUAAACAAAUAUAUAUAAAAUCCUCGAAAUUAUCAUAUCCUUAAACACCGGCUUGUUUAAUUAAGUACUGCAAAAAUAUUCGAAAACAGAGAAUAAGGAAUCCGCUAGGAACCAGCGGAGUCCUCCCAUUUUUCCAUAGCAUGCAGAAAAAUCAUACCCUUUAAUUAGAUUAAAGGAAAUAGUUAAAGCGAAGAACCAAUAAUGGACGCGCCAGAAUCAAUUCUAAAGAUUUUUUUUAUUUAUAUUUUUCAUACAAAUUAACAUAGGAAAAACAAAUCGAUAAUCUUCCAUAUCGUUCGUAGCAUUAAAUAACAAAAAAUGUACUUAAACAAGAUACACAGCAGUAAUCUCUAUUAUUUGAGAAUCUAAUUACGUGAAUAAUUAAUACGAGUUGGCAUCCCAGAAAUUCAAGAAAUCAAUCUUGCAAAAUUUGCUGAAUCUUACGUGUAAACCAUCGAUGAUCAAAACAACUAGUGACAAACCAUGUGGAUUCCAGGGGCCAGGAUUGAGUAUCUCAGGUUUAUUAUAGGGGACAUAUGCAGUGCAGAAUAUUGCUUUGUAAACAAAUAUAACAAGGGAAGCAACCGGAUUCGGCUGGCUGCUUGCUUUUUUAUCAUGGAAAAAAGUAAGUUAAUUGGGUACAGGCAUUUCAAUAAAAUGAAGAUGGCAAGACUAGAGAUGCACAAAAAAUAAUGACAAUGCUGGGACAAAUUAAUCCGGGAUUGAUGAUCAUUAAUGUAGAAGCAAGCUUUUAGAGAUUCUUAACAGUGGAGUGCAACAUGGAGUUCCAUUCCCAGUCUAUACAACCUUACCUUAAUGUCAACAACAAAAGACAAUUAAUUAAUUAAUGCGGAUUGUCGCCGGCCUGAUGAAUGGGAGACGCGAAAGCUUAAACAUGGACAUCGGAACAAAACUGACAAUUAAUUUGGCACUUUAUUUGGCAGCUGCAAAUAAUUGUAUUGUUCAAUAACAACAAAUCAAAAACAGUAACUACACCACUGGGACUGAAGAUCCAAGUAAUUCAUAACCUUACAGAUCAUGCUACAGAGAAAACAAAUUGACAAAUUCUCAACAAAUCUCAGUUAAAAGUGUAAUCAGAUCUACUUAGAAUUUUCUUUUAAUUCCUCUUCCUGUAAACACACAUAAACUUAAAAUAAAACAUCGUGCAGUAUAAGAAAGCACAAAGAUACACACACACACACAUAUAUAUGUAUGUAUGUAUGUAUUUAUAUAUGUAAGAAUCAAAAGAAAUAACAAACACUCGUAAUUAGUGUAAAAUUAUCAUUUGCAUUAACUAUAUAUAGAAAGGAAAACAGUUCAAUAUAUUGUAAAGUUGGAAGAAAUAGCGACAUAAUUAUCCUCAUAACUAAUAACAUGAAAAUUGAAGUUCUCAUGUAUACAUACAUACUGUAUUUAAUUGUUGAUGAUCAGAUUCUUCACAUGGACAUGGUGAAUGGCUGAUGAUGAAAACUUGUUGCAGCUCUUCCUAGCUUCUUUAGAUUCUAAAGAAGUUGAACGAAGGAUAUUAUUGUUAAACCAGAAGAAGGGUAGUUUAUGAUGAAAAAUCUAAAUAUGAAAUUGAGUAAAAAGCUAUGACUACAAUUGCCUGGCUCCAUCCUGUCUGCCUUUCUUUUUCUAUCUGUGAAGGAAUGUUGUUCAGGGAGAAAGAGUUACAUUGUUUUCAUCACUACCCCUUAUAAUUCAGUACUUAUCUACCCAAAAUGACCUUUUGAGUACACAAGUAAAUGCCAAGUCCCCGGUAAGGGUAGUUUGGCCAUUGCAUCUUACAAGUAAAAUGGGUGGUUGAGAAAGAUGAGAAGUGCUUGUCCUCUAAGGCAAACCCCACCAACAAAUCCUUUCUCUUUAUUAAUUAAUUCCUCUCCCUCAAAUUUGAGAGAGAAACUAUGAGAGAGGAGGAAGAAGAAUA